AAAAAUGUCGGUUAGUGUUCUCUUAAACAAGUUUCACGUUUGCUUUAGUUAUAUCAUACUCAUUGUUAUUGGGUGAACCUUAGUAAAUUAUUUUUUUUUCAUUGCAUAAGGUUCAUGAAACAAUGAGACAUUA
This is a small nucleolar RNA of Zingiber officinale, 133 nucleotides long. RefSeq annotates it as small nucleolar RNA snoR74. The record is from RefSeq and is a predicted model, not a curated record. Lineage: Eukaryota; Viridiplantae; Streptophyta; Magnoliopsida; Zingiberales; Zingiberaceae. The transcript has a single exon.